This 39-nucleotide non-coding RNA is filed under the name Trypanosoma brucei brucei. The record is from RNAcentral. Lineage: Eukaryota; Euglenozoa; Kinetoplastea; Trypanosomatida; Trypanosomatidae.
AUAUAUAACCAUACAGAAUCAUAUACGUGAAGAGAGUGA